RNAcentral lists this ribosomal RNA (498 nucleotides) under uncultured bacterium. Its description in RNAcentral is "partial 16S ribosomal RNA". It matches the Rfam family "Bacterial small subunit ribosomal RNA", at positions 28 to 507 of the family's 1533-position model. The record is from RNAcentral.
GACGAACGCUGGCGGCGUGCCUAAUACAUGCAAGUCGAACGAGAGCGACCGGUGCUUGCACUGGUCAAUCUAGUGGCGAACGGGUGAGUAACACGUGGGUAACCUGCCCAUCAGAGGGGGAUAACAUCCGGAAACGGCUGCUAAAACCGCAUAGGUCUUCGAACCGCAUGGUUUGAAGAGGAAAAGAGGCGCAAGCUUCUGCUGAUGGAUGGACCCGCGGUGCAUUAGCUAGUUGGUGAGGUAACGGCUCACCAAGGCCGUGAUGCAUAGCCGACCUGAGAGGGUGAUCGGCCACAUUGGGACUGAGACACGGCCCAAACUCCUACGGGAGGCAGCAGUAGGGAAUCUUCCGCAAUGGACGCAAGUCUGACGGAGCAACGCCGCGUGAGUGAAGAAGGUGUUCGGAUCGUAAAACUCUGUUGUUAGAGAAGAACAAGUGCUAGAGUAACUGUUAGCGCCUUGACGGUAUCUAACCAGAAAGCCACGGCUAACUACGUG